This 453-nucleotide ribosomal RNA is filed under the name uncultured Porphyromonadaceae bacterium. RNAcentral describes it as "partial 16S ribosomal RNA". It matches the Rfam family "Bacterial small subunit ribosomal RNA", at positions 341 to 792 of the family's 1533-position model. Lineage: Bacteria; Pseudomonadati; Bacteroidota; Bacteroidia; Bacteroidales; Porphyromonadaceae. The record is from RNAcentral.
ACGGGAGGCAGCAGUGAGGAAUAUUGGUCAAUGGGCGGAAGUCUGAACCAGCCAAGUCGCGUGAAGGAUGAAGGUAUUAUGUAUUGUAAACUUCUUUAGACGCAGAGAAAUAAGUGCCUCGAGAGGCAUGAUGCUAGUAUGCGUAGAGUAAGGAUCGGCUAACUCCGUGCCAGCAGUCGCGGUAAUACGGAGGAUCCGAGCGUUAUCCGGAUUUAUUGGGUUUAAAGGGUGCGCAGGCGGUCUUUUAAGUCAGUGGUUAAAUAGUGAGGCUUAACCUCAUCCCGCCAUUGAUACUGGGAGACUUGAUUGCGGUCGAGGUUGGCGGAAUUCGCCGUGUAGCGGUGAAAUGCAUAGAUAUGGCGAAGAACUCCGAUUGCGUAGGCAGCUGACCAGGCCGUAAAUGACGCUCAUGCACGAAAGUGCGGGGAUCGAACAGGAUUAGAUACCCUGGUA